RNAcentral lists this ribosomal RNA (253 nucleotides) under uncultured bacterium. Its description in RNAcentral is "partial 16S ribosomal RNA". It matches the Rfam family "Bacterial small subunit ribosomal RNA", at positions 524 to 776 of the family's 1533-position model. The record is from RNAcentral.
UACGGAGGGCGCAAGCGUUGUUCGGAAUCACUGGGCGUAAAGCGCGUGUAGGCGGCCGGGCAAGUCGGAUGUGAAAUCCCGAGGCUCAACCUCGGAACUGCAUUCGAAACUGCUCGGCUAGAGUCCCGGAGAGGAUGGCAGAAUUCCCGGUGUAUGGGUGUAAUCCGUAGAUAUCGGUAGGAAUACCAGUGGCGAAGGCGGCCAUCUAGACGGUGACUGACGCUGAGACGCGAAAGCGUGGGGAGCAAACAGG